GUCCACGCCGUAAACGAUGGAUACUAGCUGUUGGGAGCGAUCUCAGUGGCUAAGCGAAAGUGAUAAGUAUCCCACCUGGGGAGUACGUUCGCAAGAAUGAAACUCAAAGGAAUUGACGGGGGCCCGCACAAGCGGUGGAGCAUGUGGUUUAAUUCGAUGAUACGCGAGGAACCUUACCAAGGCUUAAAUGUAGAUUGACCGGACUGGAAACAGACCUUUCGCAAGACAAUUUACAAGGUGCUGCAUGGUUGUCGU
Molecule: ribosomal RNA, 255 nt
Filed under: uncultured bacterium
Lineage: Bacteria
Description: partial 16S ribosomal RNA
Rfam family: Bacterial small subunit ribosomal RNA
Source: RNAcentral